RNAcentral lists this ribosomal RNA (253 nucleotides) under uncultured bacterium. Its description in RNAcentral is "partial 16S ribosomal RNA". It matches the Rfam family "Bacterial small subunit ribosomal RNA", at positions 524 to 776 of the family's 1533-position model. The record is from RNAcentral.
UACGUAGGGGGCAAGCGUUGUCCGGAUUUAUUGGGCGUAAAGAGCGUGUAGGCGGCCAGGUAGGUCUGCUGUGAAAACUCGGGGCUUAACCUCGAGCUGUCGGCGGAAACCAUCUGGCUAGAGUCCGGAAGAGGAGAAUGGAAUUCCCGGUGUAGCGGUGAAAUGCGCAGAUAUCGGGAAGAACACCCGUGGCGAAGGCGGUUCUCUGGGACGGUACUGACGCUGAGACGCGAAAGCGUGGGGAGCGAACAGG